CCUACGGGGGGCUGCAGUGGGGAAUAUUGGACAAUGGGGGCAACCCUGAUCCAGCCAUGCCGCGUGUGUGAAGAAGGCCCUCGGGUUGUAAAGCACUUUCAGUGAGGAAGAACGCCUGGUGGUUAAUACCCAUCAGGAAAGACAUCACUCACAGAAGAAGCACCGGCUAACUCCGUGCCAGCAGCCGCGGUAAUACGGAGGGUGCGAGCGUUAAUCGGAAUUACUGGGCGUAAAGCGCGCGUAGGUGGCUUGAUAAGCCGGUUGUGAAAGCCCCGGGCUCAACCUGGGAACGGCAUCCGGAACUGUCAAGCUAGAGUGCAGGAGAGGAAGGUAGAAUUCCCGGUGUAGCGGUGAAAUGCGUAGAGAUCGGGAGGAAUACCAGUGGCGAAGGCGGCCUUCUGGACUGACACUGACACUGAGGUGCGACAGCGUGGGUAGCAAACAGGAUUAGAUACCCGGGUAGUC
This 465-nucleotide ribosomal RNA is filed under the name Vreelandella stevensii. RNAcentral's name for it is "partial 16S ribosomal RNA". It matches the Rfam family "Bacterial small subunit ribosomal RNA", at positions 338 to 795 of the family's 1533-position model. The record is from RNAcentral. Lineage: Bacteria; Pseudomonadati; Pseudomonadota; Gammaproteobacteria; Oceanospirillales; Halomonadaceae.